UAUCGAUGAGUUGAUUGAGUGUUGGCGGCCAGGUGUCUCGCGCUCACUUUGCACACGUCACGCAUACAGGGACAGCGGUUGCGUCCAGGUUUUUAAAUGACGGAGCGAAGAAUGGAUGAACUUCACAGCAACACAACCUGUUUUGCCUCAGAGAUAAUUUGUUCACCGAACCGGAACACAGCGGCAAGGACACGGCUUCGUCUUCCACGUGAGGACAAGUUGGAGGUAGCCCAGGAGGGAGCAGUGGCUCCGGUGCCAGUGCUUCCGCAUGUGCAGGAAAAAAUAUUCUCCGCCCACAAUGGAGUGAAGAUGUACUGUCCCUAAACGUCAUCAUGGAAACUACAGGAAGUUGGUCUCUGCCUACGUACCUAUUCAGAGACCACAGACGCCAGCACUGGUCGACAGAGGCGUGGAAAUCCCAUCUUGCUGCCUGACGACGGUGUGCCGAGGGGCAGAGGAAAGAUUCAGCUGCUCCCUCGUUUGUUCCUCCUUGUUGCUCUACCAGAGGAUGCAUUUAUGAAUAAAUAAAAGGAGGAGGGAGAGGGAGGAGAGAGGGGGCCUGAGAUCAGCCAUCAUCAUCAUCAUGCUUGUUCUCCUGCUCUUCUUCCUCUUAUUCUGUUUUUGUCCUCCUUUCUCGUCUCGCUGUUCUUCUCCAUUCAUUUUUUCUUCUGCGUCUUCCUCUUCCUCCCUUUGCCACAUAUUUUUGUUUUGACUACCUCUUUUUUUUAAAUGUUUAGAUAGGAGUUCAGUCAACGUAUCGCUAGCAGUUCAGAUAGUAGAAACA
Molecule: long non-coding RNA, 784 nt
Organism: Seriola aureovittata
Lineage: Eukaryota; Metazoa; Chordata; Actinopteri; Carangiformes; Carangidae
Exons: 3
Source: RefSeq, a predicted model, not a curated record